GACGAACGCUGGCGGCGUGCUUAACACAUGCAAGUCGAACGGUGAAGCGCCUUCCUUUUUGGUGGGUGUGGAUGAGUGGCGAACGGGUGAGUAACACGUGAGUAACCUGCCCCCUUCUUCUGGAUAACCGCAUGAAAGUGUGGCUAAUACGGGAUAUUCUGGGUCUGUCGCAUGAUGGGUCUGGGAAAGAUAUUGUUUCGGUGGGGGAUGGGCUCGCGGCCUAUCAGCUUGUUGGUGGGGUGAUGGCCUACCAAGGCGGUGACGGGUAGCCGGCCUGAGAGGGUGGACGGUCACACUGGGACUGAGACACGGCCCAGAAUCCUACGGGAGGCAGCAGUGGGGAAUAUUGCACAAUGGGCGCAAGCCUGAUGCAGCGACGCCGCGUGAGGGAUGGAGGCCUUCGGGUUGUGAACCUCUUUCGCCAGUGAAGCAGGCCUGCCUCGUUUGUGGGUGGGUUGACGGUAGCUGGAUAAGAAGCGCCGGCUAACUACGUG
RNAcentral lists this ribosomal RNA (494 nucleotides) under uncultured bacterium. RNAcentral describes it as "partial 16S ribosomal RNA". It matches the Rfam family "Bacterial small subunit ribosomal RNA", at positions 28 to 507 of the family's 1533-position model. The record is from RNAcentral.